Molecule: ribosomal RNA, 442 nt
Filed under: uncultured bacterium
Lineage: Bacteria
Description: partial 16S ribosomal RNA
Rfam family: Bacterial small subunit ribosomal RNA
Source: RNAcentral
CCUACGGGGGGCAGCAGUGGGGAAUAUUGGGCAAUGGACGCAAGUCUGACCCAGCAACGCCGCGUGAAGGAAGAAGGCUUUCGGGUUGUAAACUUCUUUUAAGGGGGAAGAGCAGAAGACGGUACCCCUUGAAUAAGCCACGGCUAACUACGUGCCAGCAGCCGCGGUAAUACGUAGGUGGCAAGCGUUGUCCGGAUUUACUGGGUGUAAAGGGCGUGCAGCCGGAGAGACAAGUCAGAUGUGAAAUCCACGGGCUCAACCCGUGAACUGCAUUUGAAACUGUAUGGCUGGAGUGCAGGAGAGGUAAGUGGAAUUCCUAGUGUAGCGGUGAAAUGCGUAGAUAUUAGGAGGAACACCAGUGGCGAAGGCGGCUUACUGGACUGUAACUGACGUUGAGGCUCGAAAGCGUGGGGAGCAAACAGGAUUAGAUACCCUUGUAGUC